GGAUGAACGCUAGCGGCAGGCCUAACACAUGCAAGUCGAACGGUAACAGAUCUAGCUUGCUAGAUGCUGACGAGUGGCGCACGGGUGAGUAACGCGUAUACAAUCUACCUUUAACUGAGGAAUAGCCCAGAGAAAUUUGGAUUAAUACCUCAUAGUAUUAUAUUAAGGCAUCUUUUUAUAAUUAAAACUUCGGUGGUUAAAGAUGAGUAUGCGUCCUAUUAGUUUGUUGGUAAGGUAAAAGCUUACCAAGACUACGAUAGGUAGGGGGCCUGAAAGGGUGAUCCCCCACACUGGUACUGAGACACGGACCAGACUCCUACGGGAGGCAGCAGUGAGGAAUAUUGCACAAUGGAGGAAACUCUGAUGCAGCCAUGCCGCGUGCAGGAUGAAUGCCCUAUGGGUUGUAAACUGCUUUUAUACAAGAAGAAACCUCGGUACGUGUACCGACUUGACGGUAUUGUAUGAAUAAGCACCGGCUAACUCCGUGCCAGCAGCCGCGGUAAUACGGAGGGUGCAAGCGUUAUCCGGAUUUAUUAGGUUUAAAGGGUCCGCAGGCGGAAUAUUAAGUCAGUGGUGAAAGCCUACAGCUCAACUGUAGAACUGCCAUUGAAACUGUUAUUCUUGAGUAUGGAUGAAGUGGGCGGAAUAUGUCAUGUAGCGGUGAAAUGCAUAGAUAUGACAUGGAACACCAAUUGCGAAGGCAGCUCACUAAACCAUUACUGACGCUCAUGGACGAAAGCGUGGGGAGCGAACAGGAUUAGAUACCCUGGUAGUCCACGCCGUAAACUAUGAUCACUAGAUGUUGGCGAUAUAAUGUCAGCGUUUAAGAGAAAUCGAUAAGUGAUCCACCUGGGGAGUACGUUCGCAAGAAUGAAACUCAAAGGAAUUGACGGGGGCCCGCACAAGCGGAGGAGCAUGUGGUUUAAUUCGAUGAUACGCGAGGAACCUUACCAAGGCUUAAAUGUAAUAUGACCGGUUGAGAGAUCAACCUUUUUUCGAACAGAUUACAAGGUGCUGCAUGGUUGUCGUCAGCUCGUGCCGUGAGGUGUCGGGUUAAGUCCCAUAACGAGCGCAACCCCUAUUUUUAGUUACCAGCGAGUAAUGUCGGGAACUCUAGAAAAACUGCCUGUGCAAACAGAGAGGAAGGUGGGGAUGACGUCAAAUCAUCACGGCCCUUAUGUCUUGGGCUACACACGUGCUACAAUGGUUACUACAAUGUGAUGCCAUCUGGUGACAGAGAGCUAAUCAAUAAAGGUAAUCUCAGUUCGGAUCGGAGUCUGCAACUCGACUCUGUGAAGUUGGAUUCGCUAGUAAUCGUAUAUCAGCAAUGAUACGGUGAAUACGUUCCCGGGCCUUGUACUCACCGCCC
Molecule: ribosomal RNA, 1369 nt
Filed under: uncultured Bacteroidota bacterium
Lineage: Bacteria; Pseudomonadati; Bacteroidota
Description: bacterial SSU rRNA
Rfam family: Bacterial small subunit ribosomal RNA
Source: RNAcentral